GGAAGAAGCUGGGGUAGCUAUGUAGGGGAAGGGGAUAAACGCUGAAAAGCAUCUAAGUGUGAAGCCCACCUCAAGAUGAGAUUUCCCAUUUCUUUAAGAAAGUAAGAUCCCUGAGAGAUGAUCAGGUAGAUAGGUCAGGAGUGG
Molecule: ribosomal RNA, 144 nt
Filed under: Enterococcus faecium
Lineage: Bacteria; Bacillati; Bacillota; Bacilli; Lactobacillales; Enterococcaceae
Description: partial 23S ribosomal RNA
Rfam family: Bacterial large subunit ribosomal RNA
Source: RNAcentral